GACGAACGCUGGCGGCGUGCUUAACACAUGCAAGUCGAGCGGUAAGGCCCUUUCGGGGGUACACGAGCGGCGAACGGGUGAGUAACACGUGGGUGACCUGCCCUCAGCUCUGGGAUAAGCCUGGGAAACCGGGUCUAAUACUGGAUAUGACUCCAUGACGCAUGUUGUGGGGUGGAAAGCCUUGUGCGGCUGAGGAUGGGCCCGCGGCCUAUCAGCUUGUUGGUGGGGUGAGGCCUACCAAGGCGACGACGGGUAGCCGGCCUGAGAGGGCGACCGGCCACACUGGGACUGAGACACGGCCCAGACUCCUACGGGAGGCAGCAGUGGGGAAUCUUGCGCAAGUGGGCGAAAGCCUGACGCAGCGACGCCGCGUGA
RNAcentral lists this ribosomal RNA (375 nucleotides) under uncultured bacterium. Its description in RNAcentral is "bacterial SSU rRNA". It matches the Rfam family "Bacterial small subunit ribosomal RNA", at positions 28 to 404 of the family's 1533-position model. The record is from RNAcentral.